UGGGGAAUAUUGGACAAUGGGCGCAAGCCUGAUCCAGCCAUGCCGCGUGAGUGACGAAGGCCUUAGGGUUGUAAAGCUCUUUUGGCGGGGACGAUAAUGACGGUACCCGCAGAAUAAGCCCCGGCUAACUUCGUGCCAGCAGCCGCGGUAAUACGAAGGGGGCUAGCGUUGUUCGGAAUUACUGGGCGUAAAGCGCACGUUGGCGGAUCGAUCAGUUAGGGGUGAAAUCCCGGGGCUCAACCCCGGAACUGCCUCUAAUACUGUCGAUCUCGAGUUCGAGAGAGGGGAGUGGAAUUCCGAGUGUAGAGGUGAAAUUCGUAGAUAUUCGGAGGAACACCAGUGGCGAAGGCGGCUCACUGGCUCGAUACUGACGCUGAGGUGCGAAAGCAUGGGGAGCAAACA
RNAcentral lists this ribosomal RNA (402 nucleotides) under uncultured prokaryote. RNAcentral's name for it is "bacterial SSU rRNA". It matches the Rfam family "Bacterial small subunit ribosomal RNA", at positions 355 to 774 of the family's 1533-position model. The record is from RNAcentral.